This 200-nucleotide ribosomal RNA is filed under the name uncultured bacterium. RNAcentral describes it as "partial 16S ribosomal RNA". It matches the Rfam family "Bacterial small subunit ribosomal RNA", at positions 32 to 222 of the family's 1533-position model. The record is from RNAcentral.
AAUCAACGCUGGCGGCGUGCCUCAGACAUGCAAGUCGAACGAUUAAACUUUCCUUCGGGAAAGAUAUAAAGUGGCGCACGGGUGAGUAACACGUAAGUAAUCUACCCUCGAGUGGGGAAUAACGUUCGGAAACGGACGCUAAUACCGCAUAACGCAGCGGCACCGCAAGGUGACAGUUGUUAAAGGAGUAAUUCGCUUGA